UAAUACGGAGGGCGCAAGCGUUACUCGGAAUCACUGGGCGUAAAGAGCGUGUAGGCGGGUUUGUAAGUUGGGAGUGAAAUCCUAUGGCUCAACCAUAGAACUGCUUCCAAAACUGCUUACCUAGAAUGAGGGAGAGGUAGAUGGAAUUUCUGGUGUAGGGGUAAAAUCCGUAGAGAUCAGAAGGAAUACCGAUUGCGAAGGCGAUCUACUGGAACUUUAUUGACGCUGAGACGCGAAAGCGUGGGGAGCAAACAGGAUUAGAUACCCUGGUAGUCCACGCCCUAAACGAUGUACACUAGUUGUUGCGAUGCUAGACAUUGCAGUAAUGCACCUAACGGAUUAAGUGUACCGCCUGGGGAGUACGGUCGCAAGAUUA
RNAcentral lists this ribosomal RNA (376 nucleotides) under uncultured bacterium. RNAcentral's name for it is "bacterial SSU rRNA". It matches the Rfam family "Bacterial small subunit ribosomal RNA", at positions 521 to 896 of the family's 1533-position model. The record is from RNAcentral.